This 483-nucleotide ribosomal RNA is filed under the name uncultured bacterium. RNAcentral describes it as "partial 16S ribosomal RNA". It matches the Rfam family "Bacterial small subunit ribosomal RNA", at positions 30 to 507 of the family's 1533-position model. The record is from RNAcentral.
AUUGAACGCUGGCGGCAGGCCUAACACAUGCAAGUCGAGCGGAUGAAGGGAGCUUGCUCCUGGAUUCAGCGGCGGACGGGUGAGUAAUGCCUAGGAAUCUGCCUGGUAGUGGGGGAUAACGUCCGGAAACGGGCGCUAAUACCGCAUACGUCCUGAGGGAGAAAGUGGGGGAUCUUCGGACCUCACGCUAUCAGAUGAGCCUAGGUCGGAUUAGCUAGUUGGUGGGGUAAAGGCCUACCAAGGCGACGAUCCGUAACUGGUCUGAGAGGAUGAUCAGUCACACUGGAACUGAGACACGGUCCAGACUCCUACGGGAGGCAGCAGUGGGGAAUAUUGGACGAUGUGCGAAAGCCUGAUCCAGCCAUGCCGCGUGUGUGAAGAAGGUCUUCGGAUUGUAAAGCACUUUAAGUUGGGAGGAAGGGCAGUAAGUUAAUACCUUCUGUUUUGACGUUACCAACAGAAUAAGCACCGGCUAACUUCGUG